CAUAGUUCACUGCAGCCUUGAACUCGGGCUCAAGCAAUUCUCCUGCCUCCCAAAGUGCUGGGAUUGCAGGUGUGAGCCACCGGCCCAUUUCACCUUCUCAUUUUCUAUUCUAAAGUGACAUUUAGUGGCAUAAAACGUCAGCAAGAUGGAAGGGCUUUAUCAUUUCUAUUAUUGUUUACCAGAAUUUAAAAGUAUCAAAAUGAAUUUCACUGAACAAAAUUAGAAUAUUUUAUCAUAUAAACUUGGUAUCAUGUCUUUCAAAGUCUCCUUGGGAAUUUUUUGAAUACAAGUGUUAAAGUCAACACCGGUCUGUCCAGCUUAUGACUCGUUCCCCUCUUGCCUGAGAACUGCUCCUAAACCAUAGCAGUGGGCCCUGGCAGUCAUGUGUGUUCUGUGACUGCUCUUUGGCUGUACUGUACAUACUUGGACCAGGCAUGGUCAUAGCUUGGCUUUGCAUUCCCUGAGAAGACUGUACUGUGCAGAGGAUUCUCUUUCCCAUUAAAGAUUAUCUGUGUCCUGAUCUAGAUACAAUGUUGUUUUUGAUGAUUUUGCAAAUGAGUAGGAUGGCAAAUACUUCAAUUCUUACCUGCCUAGUAUAUACUCUGUGGUGCCACCCUAUGAGACUUGGGUCAGUUGUUGGUUUUGAGUCCUCUUGGCUCCCCAUGGUAUUUCCAGAUUACUGUUUCUCUGUUAUUUUUUAAAAACUACCUUUGAAACUGAUACCUGCUGACUGGCUAAAGCCAUCUUCCUUUUUUCAUUACUCUUUUUGCUCACAUCUUGUUUGUUAACAACUGCCUCAUCUUCCUCUUCACGCUGGUCAUCCUAGGAAUUUCCCAGGAAACUAGUGUCCCAGCGUAGAAUCUGAGAGCUUUGGCUACUUAGUUCUGCAUCUUUGUCAUCAGUUCCAUCUCUUCCACUUCACCUGUCCUUGUCCUACAGUAUUAUUCUGGGCCCAGUUACUACUGCUCCUCCAUGACCAUGAACUCAAACACCAGCUCAGUGACUAAAAUCUAUGAUCCUCCUAGUUUGCUGCACAUGUUUUUCAUCCUCAGGGCUUAAAGUUCAGUGACCCCUCCAAGUUCUCCUACCACAACUAUCCUUUCUCAGCUCAGAUUAGAUGACUGCAAUUUCAUUCAUACCCAGGCAGAUUGGUGCUACUCUAAAUUCACAGCUCCAUCUCUCUGAAACCAUGGUAUUGUGGUUGGACUGUGUCCCCAUAAAGAUAUCUUAAGGCCGUAAACACCAGGUACUUGUGAAUGUGGGUUUAUUUGGAAAUAGAGUGUUUGCAAAUAUAAUCAAGAUAAGAGCACAUUUAUGCAAUGAUGCAAAGAAUCAGAUACAUGGGCUGAAGUCGAAGACUCAAGAAAGGAGAUAAUUGGUCAUGUGAGACUGAAAAGGUGGAAGAGGAUGAGAUCAAGACAAUACCUGAACAGAUUCUCUUUUAAUAAGAGUAAGAACUACCCUAGGACUACAUUCAUUGUAAUAAUACACUGAACAUAUGAUUGCCAAUGUUUAAGCAUUUUUUUUACUUUUGCUUACUUACAAAUUCUAUAGGCUCAACUAAUAACAAAAUAUACUAACUGGCCUUUAUUUAGCACUAUAUACUCAAUAAAUUCCUUUAGCUAUCAUAUUUAAUUCUCACAACAUCCCUUAAGGCUGCAGCAUCAACUGUUGCCUAAGUUUCCAGUCUGCCCUUGCCCUACAGAUUUCAGAUUUGCAAACUUCCACAAUUGCAUGAGCCCAUAUAUAUAUAUAUGGUAUUAUAUAUACACAUAUAUACAUACACACACACAUAUACACAUAUAUACAUAUACAUACACACACAUAUACAUAUAUAUAUAUAUAUAUAUAUAUAUAUAUAUAUAUAUAUAUAUAUAUAUAUAUAUAUUCUGUCCAUUCUGUUUCUCUGGAGAACUGUGAUAAAUACAUCAGAUCUGAGGUGGGGUGUGAAGAGGACUAUGGGUCACUGAGAAAUUAGAUAUUUUACCCAAAAUUACACAGUUGGCAAUUGAUGAGUUCAGAUUUAAAACAAAACGUUUUGACUACAGAACCUGCACCCUUAAUCACUACUAUUUUUGCUACCAUGCUGUCCUUGUUCGAGGAGGGAUAAGAGAGGAUGAGUAUAGGUUUUAAGUUUGGUGUCCAGAAGUUGAGGAAGUUACCGUCUGAUGGCUUCUACUUCCUCAAAAGCAAGGUUAUCGACUGAGCAUGAAUGGAGGGCCAAAGGGAGGUUGGAACUGUCCAGUGGAAAGACUUCGAUAUCACAUGCGUUCCUUUUCUAGGGUGGCCAUAACAAACUACCACAGACAGAACGGCUUAAAACAAGAAAUUUAUUCUUACAUUUCAGGAGGGCAGAAGUCUGACAUCAAGGUGACAGCAGGGUUAGUUCUUUUGGGGGCUGAAAGAGAAUCUGUUCCAUGCCUCUCUCCUAGCUUCUGAUGGUUACUGGCAAGAGUGUUCUUUGGCUUGCAGCUGUAUCAUUUCAAUCUCUGCCGCUGUCUUCACAUGUCUUUCUUCUCUGUGUGUAUCCUUGUCUCCAAAUUUCCCUCUCCUUAUGAAGACACCACUUAUUGGUUAAUCCAGGAUAUGUGCCCAGAUAACAAGGGUUUGGUUAUUCUGAAAGGAGAAAAUAGAUUUUGUGGGACAAUAGCAGUCUCUGUCACAAGUACCAUCUCUCUUAUUGUUAUUUUCUAUUUUAUUUGUUGGCAGGAUUUAGGAGGAUGUAAUGUGGCUUGCUCUUAGCUUCCGGCAUUGUAAUUGAAUAUAUCAUACUCUGCUUCUUGAACUAAUAGUUACACAAAAAUUCCACAUAAUUAAAACCAAAUAAUAGAACAGUGGGGAAAAACAUGCUAAUUUGUUUCCAAAAAAUUUUUGAGAGCAAUAUUGUCAUAUUUAGAAAAAUAAUUUAGUUGCAUUUCUAUACCGUAAGAGAAAAGGCCUCCUCUGUCUUGCUCAUAAUUUUGUUUCUAGUACUUAGCACAGUGCCUAGCACAGAUGAUUUAUGUAAUGAAUAUGUUAUACUUAUUAAAGGAGCUUGAUCUCGUCUAAGACUUUUUAUUUUUUAAUUUAAGGCAGUGCAUACUAGAGACAAGUGUAUAAACCAUGGAGUAAGAACUCAGCUUAGAUCCCAGAGCCAUUGUUUUCUAUUAGAGUGGCCUUGUGUAUGUUACUUAACCUCUUUGAGCUUUAGUUUUCUCAUCUGUAAAAGAAGGAUAUUGUGGACAUCUUUCCAGGUCAGUACAUGUAGAUAUGUACCUCAUUAUUUUUAAUGACUGUACAAUUCAAUUUUAUGAAUAUUAAUUACAGAAUUAAGCUCUUUUCCUAUGGCUGGACAUUUACAUGAUGAUGAUUAGGAGGAUUGAUACUUUACAGUAGAGCUAGUGUAAAAUGAACAUUGAAAUAGCAAAGCUAUGUUUAUAAAAUUAUAUAUAUACAUAUCUACAGCCUUGGAAAUAUGAAC
This 3460-nucleotide long non-coding RNA is filed under the name Homo sapiens (human). Its description in RNAcentral is "LHRI_LNC1876.1". Lineage: Eukaryota; Metazoa; Chordata; Mammalia; Primates; Hominidae. The record is from RNAcentral.